This 76-nucleotide transfer RNA is filed under the name Bacillus thuringiensis. Its description in RNAcentral is "tRNA-Gly". The stretch from base 4 to 70 matches the Rfam family "tRNA". Rfam says of the family: Transfer RNA (tRNA) molecules are approximately 80 nucleotides in length. Their secondary structure includes four short double-helical elements and three loops (D, anti-codon, and T loops). Lineage: Bacteria; Bacillati; Bacillota; Bacilli; Caryophanales; Bacillaceae. The record is from RNAcentral.
GCGGGAAGUAGUUCAGUGGUAGAAUACAACCUUGCCAAGGUUGGGGUCGCGGGUUCGAAUCCCGUCUUCCGCUCCA